UGCAUCGGCCGGGAAUCGAACCCGGGCAGCCCGCGUGGCAGCCGAGCAUUCUACCACUGAACCACCGAUGC
RNAcentral lists this transfer RNA (71 nucleotides) under Cordylochernes scorpioides. RNAcentral's name for it is "tRNA-Gly". Lineage: Eukaryota; Metazoa; Arthropoda; Arachnida; Pseudoscorpiones; Chernetidae. The record is from RNAcentral.